AAAAGAGAAUUACGGAGAAGAGAAAGGGAAGUUAGAGAAAAUAAGAGUAGGCAGACACCAAAGAAAAGAAAAAUGAAAUACAAAGAAUAAUUGUUUGGCCACCACCUCCAGCUAUACGAAAGGAGUAAGGAUAGUAGAACGUGAGGAGAUAUCAAGUGCUCAACUAGUAUAUAUCAUAAUCAGGCAAAGAUAUCGCUGAUGUUUUGGUUGAUAUGAGUUUUAGAAACUCCACGUGUUAUCAGGGUUGGCGGCUGACGCAUUAUAAAAACCUUCUUUUCCUCGUCAUUUUGCAUGUAGACCAAUGUAUAAUAUACAAAGUGGUGAGACAGUCUCAAUACAGUUUAAAAUAUUUUGAAAUAUGUAAUAGAAAUGUUAAUUUCUGAAUUUAUCUUAUAUGGGUGUUUUACGAA
This is a long non-coding RNA of Salvia hispanica, 410 nucleotides long. RefSeq lists it as uncharacterized. Lineage: Eukaryota; Viridiplantae; Streptophyta; Magnoliopsida; Lamiales; Lamiaceae. The record is from RefSeq and is a predicted model, not a curated record.